AAAAGCAGUUCUUGUUUUCCUCCUCACCCUUGGCUUCACUCUCUGUGACUACACACCCGUUUUCUGUGGGUCUGUCCAAAGUUUGGCCGACCCUGGGUCGCAAGGUCGGAUGCGCCCGACCCCUCACGGCAGGUCUCCACCCCGCCCGACCCCCUUGUUGCAAGGCUCCGUUUCGCCCGACCCGGGCACUAAAGGUCGGACAUAGUGGGACCCCCAGGAUAAGGUUC
RNAcentral lists this long non-coding RNA (227 nucleotides) under Setaria viridis. Its description in RNAcentral is "long non-coding RNA (SVIR_LNC007839)". The record is from RNAcentral. Lineage: Eukaryota; Viridiplantae; Streptophyta; Magnoliopsida; Poales; Poaceae.